UACAGAGGGGGCAAGCGUUGUUCGGAAUCACUGGGCUUAAAGGGCGCGUAGGCGGCCCGUCGAGUCGGGGGUGAAAUCCCACGGCCCAACCGUGGAAGGGCCUCCGAUACUGACGGGCUCGAGGGAGGUAGGGGCAGGUGGAACUUCCGGUGGAGCGGUGAAAUGCGUUGAUAUCGGAAGGAACGCCGGUGGCGAAAGCGACCUGCUGGACCUCUUCUGACGCUGAGGCGCGAAAGCCAGGGGAGCGAACGGG
RNAcentral lists this ribosomal RNA (253 nucleotides) under uncultured bacterium. Its description in RNAcentral is "partial 16S ribosomal RNA". It matches the Rfam family "Bacterial small subunit ribosomal RNA", at positions 524 to 776 of the family's 1533-position model. The record is from RNAcentral.